RNAcentral lists this long non-coding RNA (2347 nucleotides) under Monomorium pharaonis (pharaoh ant). RNAcentral describes it as "uncharacterized LOC114254409, transcript variant X4". The record is from RNAcentral. Lineage: Eukaryota; Metazoa; Arthropoda; Insecta; Hymenoptera; Formicidae.
CUAUAAUUUCAGUGCUCCAGUGAAAGACGGACGCUCGUUGAGCUUCCGCUGUUGUCGCUCAGUCAGUCGUCUCGUUGCUCGCGCUUGUUAGCUGCAUUACGAAAAACUCUGAGAGGACGUGGCUUCGAUGAUUUAGGGCACUUCUUUAUGGAAGGACUUUAUGCGACAUGCGCAUUAGAGGAAUACCGCGCGGAAACAGUUUAUCGCAUUUAUCCCAUCCUGGAUGAAGGCAAAUUAAUGAUAAUAAGAGCGCAGAGCUAUAAUUCGUAUAGAAUUAGCUACGAAUCAUCUCUCCUGCUGACUGAUCGUUAUCGGCAAUUUGCGACGUUUGCUCCCCCGUGGGAUUCGAGAUCUCGGGGUGUAUAUCUUCUUCCCCGGUUCGUUUCGCCUCUCUACACAUUUGUAUUACACGAAUGGAAUCUCGUUGGCAAAGAAUCAUUUCCGCGAUCACACAAGGGACAGAUAAGUAAAUUGUACACCGAUAAAUUUUAAUACAAUACAAUUUACUAAUGGAUAAAUAAUUAUACUGAAAUAAUAUAUGCUUGCCUACAGUAAAAACUUUUGUGUUAAAUUUUAACACAAGAUAAAUAUGUUAGAAAUAACACAAAUAUUAUGAAAAUAAUUAACACAAAAAUUUAAAACUGAUGAAAAUGUAAUUUGAAAGCAAAUUGUAGAACCAUAUUUCCUUAAUAAAAUUAAUUAAUGUACAAUAAUUAAUAUGCUAAAUUAAAUGUACUCUUUAUUAAUUUAUUUUGAAACAUUUACAUUGUAAAAUUAUAUUCUCUUUCUCAAAUCAAGUUGAACUUUUAUAACUAAAAAUCAUGAAUUCCAUAUUUGAUCCAUGUUCCGUGAUUUGUCUUGACAAAAGUACUCUCGGUGAUUUGCCUUUUGAGACGUGAUGAUCAAUUGAAAAUCUAAUAUGUUCUAAAUGAAUUUGAAUCUUUGGCGAUUAUCAUUCUUAGCUAAAACUACUUAAACUACAGUAAAUAAAACUAUAUUAUUUUUAUGUUAUUUAUUUAUCUCUAAAUUGUAUUAAUUUAACAUUAGAAAAUGUUGAAUAUCAAUUUAUUACAAAAUAUUUAAAUAACACGUUCACAUUCCAUUAAAUUAAUACUUGAAUAUCUUAAAAAUUGAACACCAAAUCAUCUAUUUUGUAAAUGCAAAGGUGAUCUAUCUUCCAUAACAGGCCCAGUUUCAAAUCAUUUUGAUAUAGUUACGGAUAUAAGAAAGACUCUAAAAGACCGGCUAAAAGUUAUCGAAAUUUAAAAACCUGCAUACUUGUUAGAUUAUUCUAUUUUUACGAAUAAAUAACAAUUUUGGUCAUGAAUAUCCAAAUUUUGGCUCUGAAAUCUGCUACAAAGGAAAAAAAUAACGAAAGAUUUGAGUUAUAACAGUUUAUGUAGCGAAAAUGAUCAUAUUUUGUUACAGUUUUAGAUAUGAAAUAACUUUAAAACAGUAAAUAGAAUUUUAAGACUAAACAGUAAAUAAAAAUUAAUAAAAUAACUUUUAAACUUAAUGAAAGAAUCAUGUUUAAAUUUUAUCAAGAUAUUGAUAACUUAUUGAUAAAAUAACUUGUAAAUUUUUUACAUUUUCAGUAAUACUUUGAAAUGUGACACAUAUCCUCUUAAAUACAGAUAAAGAAAUACGAAUAGAAUCAUGCGGGAGCGAUUUAGAACAGAAGCGGCAACGAUGAGAAAGAGAGGAGCGGCCGUUGAGUCUCAAUGCGGAGAAUUUCGAAAUCGCUAACAAUCGGUGGCAAGCGAGAUCCAUUGAUGUGCGACCGUGCAUAUGAAUAUAACUGCCGAGGGAUAGAAACACUCUCGAAGAAUGAUGGUUAUGAGAAAAGGAGUGCUUGAACACGGACGAUGGUCAGACUCCUGCGGUUCCAAUUACGAUUGAAAGGCGCUCCUGUUUGUUCACCUCCUACAACUGCGGACUCUUCAGUGCCUCAUAGAACCGUACUCUAACCCCAUAGCCACUUUUGAGUUCGUUUGUCGAUGUCGGGAAACGGAACGACACCGAUUACCCGACGUAACCGUGUUCCUGCUCUCAUGCAAAAUGCCGAGUAAUCAAAGGAACGAUUGUCAUCACAAAGGUGCUUGAUUGGCUCGUUUAUGGUACGGUAAUGCUUGGGCUACCGGAUGACACAGAAUCCUGCGAAGAAACACAAGUCUCUCGCUCUUCUAGAGAGUUUCCACGAAAUUGCAUGAAUAUAGUCAUUGGCAGCAUUAAGGUGCAUCGAGUUAUCAUGUUUUAUUUCCUAGUUACUAAGCUGUAACAAUAAUUAUAAAUAUCUAUAAAAUAUAAAUGUAGUAAAUAUAAGAUAAAUAAAAUUAAUAUAACGAAA